UCAAUAAAAAUAAUGCAUUAUGUUAUUGGUUUCAAAUGUCAAACGACAUUAAAUGUUUAUGUAAAAAUGAAAAUUUUAAUGAUUUUGAAGCAAAAAAAAAAAAUUCUUAAACUUAUAGGUCUGUAAACUAAAAAAUCUCUGAACAAAAUUAUUGACAGUAUAAAAAAUAGAGAUAAUUGGCUGUAUAUACCUUUUAUGAGCCAAUAUUAAGUAAAUGCCCUAAGAGCCAUAAAACCCCAAUUCACUGUAGAAUUUUGGCAGUAUUGUUCCCAUAAUACCCUUCUGUCUA
This 289-nucleotide long non-coding RNA is filed under the name Brassica rapa (field mustard). Its description in RNAcentral is "long non-coding RNA (BRAP_LNC006416)". Lineage: Eukaryota; Viridiplantae; Streptophyta; Magnoliopsida; Brassicales; Brassicaceae. The record is from RNAcentral.